GUUGAUGCUGUACUGCAAAAGACAUUAAUUCUUUAUGCCUCUGAAUCUGUUUUUUACAUAAUGGUUAAAAAAAACAGAUUUGGUCUGUGUGGUCACUCCUGUGUCAUCAGAGGUGUCUCAUCUAGGUGGAGUUGAAUCAAGCAAAGACUUUAAGGCUCAUAUUAUCAAAAUGUCAAUGAUUCACCCGUUCAAAAAAUUAAUCCAUCAGCCUUAAAGGCUCCCCUGCUUUCACUGCUUUGUGCUGAAGUGUAUUAACCAGCUGCUUUCAUUCAUCAGUGUUAUAAUCAAAGAGGAUAUUACUCAUUUGUGUUGCUGUCUAGCCCAUAAAAAGAUCACUCUGCAUUUCCAGACGAGACAAUUUAACAAACAAAAAAAACUAAGUACCGUGUGACAUUUUAAUAUAUCAACAUGCACAUAAGAGCCGUGAAUAACACUCAUGCAUAUAUAUAUAUAUUUUUAAUCAUCUUUUAAUUCCAAAGUUUUUUCAUUCUUUAUUUCUCUCUUGUAUUUAUAGCUGCUGUAAAUUUGGAAUUUCCCCUUGUGGGAUGAAUAAAGGAAUAUCUUAUCUCUAAUCUCACCUUACAUUAUCACACUAUCGCUGCUUCCACCUCAGAGAAAUGCCUUUCUCAGAGUUAAAACUAUAUAUUUGAUUUGCCCUCCAGUUUCUAAAGGUCAGGAAAAAAUACAAAGAUAAAAGACUAGGGCCCCGGUGGGGCACUGGCGGGCCCGAGCCGUGUCGCGCCGCCCCCAGCACGACCGCCUCCCCCUCCCAAUCGCGUCACACUCAAGGUCCAAAGAUGGUGUGCGCACUUGUCUGUGGUCAUUUACCAUUAUAAUGAAUGGGAGGCGCAGUUUCUACCAAAACGCUUGCUGCAGACAAACUACAUGUCCUAUUUGAAAAAAGUCUGGAACAUGAGUGAGGGCACAAACACAGCUUCGAGAUAUCCAAAUGGCAAGUGACUCCUCUUUCCGGUUUUGCCGAGAGAGCGAUGCGUUUGAGCCAUUGAGCGAUGGGCAGGAAAAACUUGACUUUUUCUCCUGCCAUAGGGGGGCGCUCUUUUUGGGGAGAAAAAAUUCCUUCACAAAUGUGUUGAUGGCUGAACAUUGCAUCAUCCUAGAAAACUUGGAGGCCAGUGAGGACCAAAAUACAAGUUACAAGACUUUUAAGAAUGUGGAUAUUUGGGUCCUCUCUGGCGCCCCCUUGAACCUAAACCGUGGGGUGCAGCGUCAUGAUUUGUACAACAUUGAAAGGCCAUGGGGUGUAGAUUGGCCUGAGCAAAUUUGGUGUUGGUGGGACGAAAGCUUUAGGAGGAGUUAGCCACAUUCCAAUGUGUGGAAUGUGGAUUUUUGGGUCAUCUUUGGCGCCCCCUAGAACGUAAACCGUGGAGUGCAGCGUCAUGAUUUUUACAACUUUGAAUGGCCAUGGGGUGUAGAUUGGCCUGAGCAAAUUUGGUGUCAGUGGGACGAAAGCCUUAGGAGUAGUUAGCCACAUUCCAAUGUGUGCGGAUCGGCAAAAAAUGCAAAAUAGCCCUUUAACCGUACAUUUUACAGAUACGUGCGCAUUGACUUUUUCGUAGAUCUUAUUGAGAUACACGUGAUUGUCAAAUUUUGUGUCAAUAUGACAAAGCGUACAGGCGUGACACUCAACAAUGUGUAUUUUCACCUUAGGGGACAAGAAAAAAUUGACUUUUUUCUCCUUCCAUGGGGGGGCGCUCUUUUGGGGAGUAAAAAUUCCUUCACAAAUUAGUGGAGCAGACAAAUGCAUAAUAUAGCCCGAAUCGUUCACUUUGUUAUACAAGCAUGAAAUUUGGUACAUAUACUCUUCAAACCCCACUCUUUUCAAAAAUAACGUUAGCCACGCAAAAUUCCAAGAUGGCGGCCCCAAAAUCCAAGAUGUCCGCCCCAAAAAUGUGGUUUUUCCUUUAUAACUCAAAAUGACUUGAUUUUAAGCCCCAUACAUAUAUUGAAGUUGAAUAUAAAGUUGGGUAUUGCGGACAUUUUGGUAGCCAGUACAUUUCUGUAUCCAUUACGGUUCUCGAGAUACAGCAUAUAGAUACUUGUACAGAAUUGGGAGAGUGAGAAAUUUGUAACACCGAUUGUUGUUACGUGCAUAUGGUUGCAUGAAAAUAUCAUUUUCAUUAUCUGUUAUUUUCAUGAGGGUUAUAACAUUAAAUUUGAAAAACAAGAUGGUGUCCAAGUUGGCUGCCAUUGCCUUGAAG
This 2219-nucleotide long non-coding RNA is filed under the name Xyrichtys novacula (pearly razorfish). The record is from RNAcentral. Lineage: Eukaryota; Metazoa; Chordata; Actinopteri; Labriformes; Labridae.